GAUGAAUAGUUCGUAUCUGAUAAUUUUGGUGUGUCUGCUUUUGCUGAUAAGCCGCAGUUAUCAGUGUCCACUCGGUGCCACUUCCCAUGUCAGUCUUGGUUCAAAUUUUCCAUCUCAAUUCGAUAAUCAUCCUAAAAUCUGAGCGAUCAAAGAGCUGGCGACUUCCGUGUAGGCAUUGGGGCUAUCAGUGCAGACGGACCAAUUCUUUAUCACUCCUGAAUGUAACGAACAAAAUACAAACAAACUCUUAUAACAAUGGUAAUACAAACGGAAAUAUUCGUUAAAUAUAUUAAGAAGCUUGCAUUGUUUUUAUUAAAUCA
Drosophila innubila is the source of this 320-nucleotide long non-coding RNA. RefSeq lists it as uncharacterized. NCBI's taxonomy places the organism in Eukaryota, Metazoa, Arthropoda, Insecta, Diptera, Drosophilidae. The transcript has 2 exons. The record is from RefSeq and is a predicted model, not a curated record.